GUCGAGCGAAUCGAUGGGAGCUUGCUCCCUGAGAUUAGCGGCGGACGGGUGAGUAACACGUGGGCAACCUGCCUAUAAGACUGGGAUAACUUCGGGAAACCGGAGCUAAUACCGGAUACGUUCUUUUCUCGCAUGAGAGAAGAUGGAAAGACGGUUUACGCUGUCACUUAUAGAUGGGCCCGCGGCGCAUUAGCUAGUUGGUGAGGUAAUGGCUCACCAAGGCGACGAUGCGUAGCCGACCUGAGAGGGUGAUCGGCCACACUGGGACUGAGACACGGCCCAGACUCCUACGGGAGGCAGCAGUAGGGAAUCUUCCGCAAUGGACGAAAGUCUGACGGAGCAACGCCGCGUGAACGAAGAAGGCCUUCGGGUCGUAAAGUUCUGUUGUUAGGGAAGAACAAGUACCAGAGUAACUGCUGGUACCUUGACGGUACCUAACCAGAAAGCCACGGCUAACUACGUGCCAGCAGCCGCGGUAAUACGUAGGUGGCAAGCGUUGUCCGGAAUUAUUGGGCGUAAAGCGCGCGCAGGUGGUUCCUUAAGUCUGAUGUGAAAGCCCACGGCUCAACCGUGGAGGGUCAUUGGAAACUGGGGAACUUGAGUGCAGAAGAGGAAAGUGGAAUUCCAAGUGUAGCGGUGAAAUGCGUAGAGAUUUGGAGGAACACCAGUGGCGAAGGCGACUUUCUGGUCUGUAACUGACACUGAGGCGCGAA
RNAcentral lists this ribosomal RNA (713 nucleotides) under Bacillus sp. (in: firmicutes). RNAcentral's name for it is "bacterial SSU rRNA". It matches the Rfam family "Bacterial small subunit ribosomal RNA", at positions 61 to 757 of the family's 1533-position model. RNAcentral also lists the same sequence under 4 other names. The record is from RNAcentral. Lineage: Bacteria; Bacillati; Bacillota; Bacilli; Caryophanales; Bacillaceae.